CCUACGGGAGGCAGCAGUGAGGAAUAUUGGUCAAUGGGCGGAAGCCUGAACCAGCCAAGUAGCGUGAAGGAUGACUGCCCUAUGGGUUGUAAACUUCUUUUAUAUGGGAAUAAAACAGGGUAUGCAUACCCUCUUGUAUGUAACAUAUGAAUAAGGAUUGGCUAACUACGUGCCAGCAGCCGCGGUAAUACGGAGGAUCCGAGCGUUAUCCGGAUUUAUUGGGAUUAAAGGGAGCGUAGGUGGAUAGGUAAGUCAGUUGUGAAAGUUUGCGGCUCAACCGUAAAAUUGCAGUUGAAACUGGCAGUCUUGAGUACAGUAGAAGUGGGCGGGAUUCGUGGUGUAGCGGUGAAAUGCUUAGAUAUCACGAAGAACUCCGA
RNAcentral lists this ribosomal RNA (377 nucleotides) under uncultured bacterium. RNAcentral's name for it is "partial 16S ribosomal RNA". It matches the Rfam family "Bacterial small subunit ribosomal RNA", at positions 338 to 712 of the family's 1533-position model. The record is from RNAcentral.